RNAcentral lists this long non-coding RNA (3181 nucleotides) under Homo sapiens (human). Its description in RNAcentral is "PCBP1 antisense RNA 1, transcript variant 32 (PCBP1-AS1)". The record is from RNAcentral. Lineage: Eukaryota; Metazoa; Chordata; Mammalia; Primates; Hominidae.
AGGUCACAAGAUUGCGCCAACCCUUACAUGGUCCUUAAAAAAAAAACCUUCUGACACUGCAGUAGUGAAAAUGAAGCGCACGAUGGGCGGAAGCUGUGAGUCCGGCAAAGUUUUAAAAUGAUGACGUAUUUUAUUAACUCUAACGGCACUGGCGGGUGACUGAAAAUACUAGUGCUGUGUAUGCGGGAUAGACAUUAUUUUCCUGCCCUACAUGAGGGGCUCGUGCGCGGAACGACAUGGGCAGCCCCGGCGGAAACUGCAGGCACAAGCCGGGACGCCGCGGGUUUAAAACAUGCGCGUGAGAGGAAGACAAACAUAAAGAUGAAGUGCUUAAUUCAAGGUCACACAAUGUCGGGGAUGGACCUCCAGAUUUCCUUACUGACCUGCAUUAUCUUGUGGAUACCUGAGUGAAUUCCACACCACCCAUUUUAUAGAUGAAACCACUGAGACAUGGAGCAAUUGACUGAGUAGUCACUGCCCCACCCCUGCCUGGAGCCUCACACAUGACUCGCCUCCUCUCAGUGACCACAGGUUGGUUGAGGGGUUUAACAAGGCUAAGAAGGUGAGACGUGGUCUUGUAACACAGUGGUUAAGAAUGUGACUUUGGAGCCAGCCUGCUAGGGGCUGAAUUCUGACUCAGCCAUUUACUAACUGUGUGACCUUAGGUAAGUCAUUUACCUUCUUUGUCCCUCAGUUUCAUCUCGGUUAAGUAGGGAUAAUGAUAGCACCUAUUUUAUAGGGUUAUUGUGAGGAAUAAAUCCAAGUAAAAUGCUUAGAAUAGUAACUGAAACAUAGCACUCAUUAGGAAUGCUUUAAUUUUCAUUUAUUUGAGUAUUAAAGGUUGAAUUUUCAGAGGUAUUUUGGACCUUUGUAUUUUUUCUUUAAAUCACUUAUUCAUGACUUUUGAACUUUUUUUUUUCUUUUAGAGACAGGGUCUUGGUUUGUUGUCUAGGCUGGAAUGCAGUGGUGCAAUCAUAGCUCACUGUAGCCUUGAACUCUUGGGCUCAAGAGAUCCUCCUGCCUCAGCCUCGUGAGUAGCUGGGCCUACAGGCGCCUGCUACCACACCUGGCUAAUUUUUUAUUUUUUGUAGAGAUGGGUUCUUGCAGCCCAGACUGGUCUUGAGCUUUGGCCUGAAGUGCUCCUCCUGCCUUGGCCUCUCAAAGCAUUGGGGUUACAGGUGUGAAGCACUGCACCUUGCCUACACAUUUUUUCCAAUAAUUUUUUUUAUUAAUUUGUAAGAGUUAACAUGUCGACUAUCAUAUAUAACAUAGAAUUGUUCCCAUUUUGUCAUUUCCUUUCAACUUUGUCUAUGUAGCUUUUUUUCUGUGUGCAAAUUUUACAUUUUUAGGUAGUCAGAAAAUCUCUUCCCUUGUAAUUUUUUCUGCUACUAGACCAAUGUUUAGAAAAAAGCGUGCUUCCCCACCUCAAAAUUAUAAAAAUAGUUACUUGUUCUUUUUGAGUACUGUGUGUGUUUAAAUCUUUAAUCUUUAAAUUUAAAUCUUUGAUCCAUCUGGUAUUUAUUUUGAUAUGAAGAGAGUGGUUGGGAUCUGGCUGUAUUUCUUUUUUCUUUUUUUUUCUUUUUUCUUUUUUUGACGAAGUCUCACUGUUGCUCAGGCUGGAGUGCAAUGGCAUGAUCUCGGCUCAUCACAACCUCUGCUUCCUGGGUUCAAGCGAUUCUCCUGCCUCAGCCUCCCGAGUACCUGGGACUACAGGCACUCGCCACCAUGCCCGGCUGAUUUUUGUAUUUUUAAUAGAGAUGGUUUCACUAUGUUGGCCAGGCUGGUCUCGAACUCCUGACCUUGUGAUCUGCCCACCUCAGCCUCGAAAAGUGCUGGGAUUACAGGCGUGAGCCACUGCGCCCAGCCUUGUAUUUUUUUUCAGUUUGGGUAGCUGUCCCUAAUUCAUUUGUUAAAGGAGAAGCAAGAGCAAGAACCUUUAAUCUGUUCUCCUCUUCCCUAAUUUGAAAGUAGCUUGUUAUUUUGAAUAUCACUUUCUCUGAAAUAGCACAUCUCCAUCUCAGAGAAUGGAUUUAAUGUUUGGAUACAGCCAAAAGUCAUUUCAUUACCAAACCAUGGGGUGAAUAUACCAUGUAAAGCAGUUUGGGAUCAGAACUCACAGUCUGAAUUGUAAGUGAUGAGACUGCUGUCUCUCUGCUACAGCUUCUUGGCUGGCUCUGAAGGCUCUUUGAAGGCAGAUCCUAACAAGGGGACUGCUUUGAAGGGCCAUUGUUCAUUUGGAAUGAUAAAGUCUAUGUUGUUCAAAAAACAAAUGCUUGUAGCAGGUAUUUUUUCACUCCAGACUGAGAAUAUUGGUGGGAUAUUGAUAAGGGGUACUGAAUGGUAAUAAACAUGUGCUCUAGCUCUGUGCUAGUCAGCUUAUUUCAGAACUCUAGUUUGAUUCAGUUUCUUGCCUCUGACUCAAAAUGGAGGGAGAGUGAUUUUUACAUAAGAGAACACACCCACAUAUCCUUUUGGCAGCAGCUACCUGCCAGAGAUGUUGAAGAAGAGUAGCCAACCUUUACACAGCAGAUAUUGUGUGCCAGUCAUAGUCCUAAGUAUAAUACCUUACAUGUAUAAACUUCUUAUAAGGUUGGUGCUCUGUACCGAAUUGAAUAGUAUCCCCCAAAAUUCAUGUUGUCCCAGAACCUAUGAAAGUGAUCUUACUUGAGGGAGGGGGGAGGGGGGAGGGAUAGCAUUAGGAGAUAUACCUAAUGCUAAAUGACGAGUUAAUGGGUGUAGCACACCAGCAUGGCACAUGUAUACAUAUGUAACUAACCUGCACAUUGUGCACAUGUACCCUAAAACUUAAAGUAUAAUAAUAAUAAAAUAAAAAAAAAAAAGAAAGUGAUCUUACUUGGAAAUAAGGUCUUUGCACAUAUGAUCAAGUUGAGAUGAAGUUGUACUGGAAAGUCUGUCUAGUGACUGGUGUUGUCAUAAGAAGAGAGGGACACAGAGGGAAGAUGGCCACAUGAAGAUGGAGGCAGAGAUUGCAGUUAUGCUGCUGCAAACUAAGGAAUGGCUCUGGCCCUCCAAGGAUUGCUGAUAACCACCAGAAACUAGAAGAGACAAGGAAGGAUUCUUCCCUAGAGCCUUCAGAGGGAGCAUGGCCCUACUGACACCUGGAUUUCAAACUUGUAGCUUCCUAAACUGCAAGAGAAUAAAUUUCUGUUGUUUUAAGCCA